AACGAUAGUAGAGGUUGCGCUAAUUAUUAGUAGGUUAUAUGAUGUCCCGGAGGCAGAUGACUAUAGCAGAAAGGAUGCAGCGCCGAAGGAGAUGGUUUCCGGAGAUUGUUUCCUGGGUAUGUGGUUAACAGCCAUAUGACUGUCAUACAUAUUUUAUGUAUGGGGAGCUACUUAUAAG
Molecule: regulatory RNA element, 178 nt
Organism: Eubacterium sp. CAG:161
Lineage: Bacteria; Bacillati; Bacillota; Clostridia; Eubacteriales; Eubacteriaceae
Rfam family: Lysine riboswitch aptamer
About the family: Riboswitches are metabolite binding domains within certain messenger RNAs that serve as precision sensors for their corresponding targets. Allosteric rearrangement of mRNA structure is mediated by ligand binding, and this results in modulation of gene expression.
Source: Rfam